RNAcentral lists this ribosomal RNA (253 nucleotides) under uncultured bacterium. Its description in RNAcentral is "partial 16S ribosomal RNA". It matches the Rfam family "Bacterial small subunit ribosomal RNA", at positions 524 to 776 of the family's 1533-position model. The record is from RNAcentral.
CACGGGGGGAGCAAGCGUUGUUCGGAUUCAUUGGGCGUAAAGGGCUCGUAGGUGGCUCUGUAAGUCGGAGGUGAAAGACCACGGCUCAACCCUGGAAUGCCGGUGGAUACUGUCGGGCUCGAAUCCGGAAGAGGUGAGUGGAACUCCUGGUGUAGCGGUGAAAUGCGCAGAUAUCAGGAGGAACACCAAUGGCGAAGGCAGCUCACUGGGACGGUAUUGACGCUGAGACGCGAAAGCGUGGGGAGCAAACAGG